UUCCUGUACUUGGUGUUACUGCGAAGGGGGGACGGAGAAGGCUAUGUUGGCCGGGCGACGGUUGUCCCGGUUUAAGCGUGUAGGCUGGUUUUCCAGGCAAAUCCGGAAAAUCAAGGCUGAGGCGUGAUGACGAGGCACUACGGUGCUGAAGCAACAAAUGCCCUGCUUCCAGGAAAAGCCUCUAAGCAUCAGGUAACAUCAAAUCGUACCCCAAACCGACACAGGUGGUCAGGUAGAGAAUACCAAGGCGCUUGAGAGAACUCGGGUGAAGGAACUAGGCAAAAUGGUGCCGUAACUUCGGGAGAAGGCACGCUGAUAUGUAGGUGAAGUCCCUUGCGGAUGGAGCUGAAAUCAGUCGAAGAUACCAGCUGGCUGCAACUGUUUAUUAAAAACACAGCACUGUGCAAACACGAAAGUGGACGUAUACGGUGUGACGCCUGCCCGGUGCCGGAAGGUUAAUUGAUGGGGUCAGCGCAAGCGAAGCUCUUGAUCGAAGCCCCGGUAAACGGCGGCCGUAACUAUAACGGUCCUAAGGUAGCGAAAUUCCUUGUCGGGUAAGUUCCGACCUGCACGAAUGGCGUAAUGAUGGCCAGGCUGUCUCCACCCGAGACUCAGUGAAAUUGAACUCGCUGUGAAGAUGCAGUGUACCCGCGGCAAGACGGAAAGACCCCGUGAACCUUUACUAUAGCUUGACACUGAACAUUGAGCCUUGAUGUGUAGGAUAGGUGGGAGGCUUUGAAGUGUGGACGCCAGUCUGCAUGGAGCCGGCCUUGAAAUACCACCCUUUAAUGUUUGAUGUUCUAACGUGGACCCGUGAUCCGGGUUGCGGACAGUGUCUGGUGGGUAGUUUGACUGGGGCGGUCUCCUCCUAAAGAGUAACGGAGGAGCACGAAGGUUGGCUAAUCCUGGUCGGACAUCAGGAGGUUAGUGCAAUGGCAUAAGCCAGCUUGACUGCGAGCGUGACGGCGCGAGCAGGUGCGAAAGCAGGUCAUAGUGAUCCGGUGGUUCUGAAUGGAAGGGCCAUCGCUCAACGGAUAAAAGGUACUCCGGGGAUAACAGGCUGAUACCGCCCAAGAGUUCAUAUCGACGGCGGUGUUUGGCACCUCGAUGUCGGCUCAUCACAUCCUGGGGCUGAAGUAGGUCCCAAGGGUAUGGCUGUUCGCCAUUUAAAGUGGUACGCGAGCUGGGUUUAGAACGUCGUGAGACAGUUCGGUCCCUAUCUGCCGUGGGCGCUGGAGAACUGAGGGGGGCUGCUCCUAGUACGAGAGGACCGGAGUGGACGCAUCACUGGUGUUCGGGUUGUCAUGCCAAUGGCACUGCCCGGUAGCUAAAUGCGGAAGAGAUAAGUGCUGAAAGCAUCUAAGCACGAAACUUGCCCCGAGAUGAGUUCUCCCUGACCCUUUAAGGGUCCUGAAGGAACGUUGAAGACGACGACGUUGAUAGGCCGGGUGUGUAAGCGCAGCGAUGCGUUGAGCUAACCGGUACUAAUGAACCGUGAG
This 1499-nucleotide ribosomal RNA is filed under the name Escherichia coli. RNAcentral's name for it is "partial 23S ribosomal RNA". It matches the Rfam family "Bacterial large subunit ribosomal RNA", at positions 1436 to 2915 of the family's 2925-position model. The record is from RNAcentral. RNAcentral also lists the same sequence under 1 other name. Lineage: Bacteria; Pseudomonadati; Pseudomonadota; Gammaproteobacteria; Enterobacterales; Enterobacteriaceae.